Molecule: ribosomal RNA, 301 nt
Filed under: uncultured bacterium
Lineage: Bacteria
Description: partial 16S ribosomal RNA
Rfam family: Bacterial small subunit ribosomal RNA
Source: RNAcentral
CAGCAGCCGCGGGAAUACAGAGGGUGCGAGCGUUACUCGGAAUUACUGGGCGUAAAGCGUGCGUAGGUGGUUGUUUAAGUCUGCUGUGAAAGCCCUGGGCUCAACCUGGGAAUUGCAGUGGAUACUGGGCAACUAGAGUAAGGUAGAGGAUAGUGGAAUUUCCGGUGUAGCAGUGAAAUGCGUAGAGAUCGGAAGGAACAUCUGUGGCGAAGGCGACUAUCUGGGCCAUUACUGACACUGAGGCACGAAAGCGUGGGGAGCAAACAGGAUUAGAUACCCGAGUAGUCCCUGUCUCUUAUAC